This 190-nucleotide ribosomal RNA is filed under the name Salmonella enterica subsp. enterica serovar Enteritidis. Its description in RNAcentral is "partial 23S ribosomal RNA". It matches the Rfam family "Bacterial large subunit ribosomal RNA", at positions 1 to 182 of the family's 2925-position model. Lineage: Bacteria; Pseudomonadati; Pseudomonadota; Gammaproteobacteria; Enterobacterales; Enterobacteriaceae. The record is from RNAcentral.
GGGUUGUGAGGUUAAGCGACUAAGCGUACACGGUGGAUGCCCUGGCAGUCAGAGGCGAUGAAGGGCGUGCUAAUCUGCGAUAAGCGCCGGUAAGGUGAUAUGAACCGUUAUAACCGGCGAUACCCGAAUGGGGAAACCCAGUGUGAUUCGUCACACUAUCAUUAACUGAAUCCAUAGUUUAAUGCGGCGA